Molecule: RNase P RNA, 320 nt
Filed under: Helicobacter sp.
Lineage: Bacteria; Pseudomonadati; Campylobacterota; Epsilonproteobacteria; Campylobacterales; Helicobacteraceae
Description: RNase P RNA component class A
Rfam family: Bacterial RNase P class A
About the family: Ribonuclease P (RNase P) is a ubiquitous endoribonuclease, found in archaea, bacteria and eukarya as well as chloroplasts and mitochondria. Its best characterised activity is the generation of mature 5'-ends of tRNAs by cleaving the 5'-leader elements of precursor-tRNAs.
Source: RNAcentral
AAGGUGUAGUAAGUGGCUGCUCCAAAUAUGGAGAGGAAAGUCCGAGCUGCAUUGGGAUAGGAUUCCAUUUAAAGAAUGGCUAGAGCAAUCUAAGGGAAAGCGCAACAGAAAACAAACCGCCUACAAAGGCAAGGGUGAAAAGGCGAGGUAAGAGCUCACCGAGAGCAACGCAAGUUGUUUUGCACUGCAAGCCCAAUCCGCAGCAAGAAAGGUAUGGUUAAUAUCCCAAGAUUUGAACCUUUCGCUAGAGUUUUGCUGCAAGGCAAAAUCCAGAUAAAUAGCCGCAUAAACAGAACUCGGCUUACCGCUACACCCCAAUC